UGUGGAAGCUCAAAUACAACGAGUUAGGAAAAAGUCAUAAAAACAGAAUAAUACGGCCAUGUGAAUGCAGCAUUAGACUAAUUGCAACCAAGUGGUCUACAAAUUCUCAAAAUAAAUGAAUGAAACCUUACUUUCCUGCUGGAUCUUGUAUUUUGUUCAGGUGAAGAAGGAAAGAGCAAGCCUUCAGGCAUCCAGGAUGCAGCUUUGAAAACGUGUUAGUCAGGAGCCCCUAGAUUCCAGCAAGGCAUUACCACCAGGGCUUCUGCCUGUGAAGAAAGACAAGCCAAGGGCCCAGAGCAACUUCUUCAAUUGCAGGAAGCUGAUUGUGUGAGAUACACCACCCUCCUCCGAUCUGGAUCAUGCUUGGACCAAGGCCUCUCCCUCUCUCUUUUGGCACAGGCCUUGGGACUGGUGGUACAGUGUCAUGCCGCUCCUCAGAAGCAAGUUUCUCCUCAGGGGAUUCUGUCGCGCAGUGACCUGGAUCUCCUCUGACUUGCCUGAAGAGCAGAGUGCCGGGCUGGACUGUGAAGCUGAAUAGGUAAGCUUAACCCACCUUGCUGAAGGGACACUUGUAGGAAGGGGAUAGGACUGGUUCCAUAUUCCCCAACAUCUCACAGGUGAAAAUAGGGGCACUUGAGGAGUUGU
This 645-nucleotide long non-coding RNA is filed under the name Podarcis muralis (Common wall lizard). Its description in RNAcentral is "lncRNA (ENSPMRG00000006947.1)". The record is from RNAcentral. Lineage: Eukaryota; Metazoa; Chordata; Lepidosauria; Squamata; Lacertidae.